CAGCCGUAAACUAUGCGCGUUAGGUGUACUGGUGACCACGAGUCACCGGGGUGCCGAAGGGAAACCGUGAAACGUGCCGCCUGGGAAGUACGGUCGCAAGGCUGAAACUUAAAGGAAUUGGCUGGGGAGCACCACAACGGGUGGAGCCUGCGGUUUAAUUGGACUCAACGCCGGAAAUCUCACCGGAUAGGACAGACAUAUGAUAGUCGGGCUGAAGACUCUACUUGAUGAUCUGAGAGGAGGUGCAUGGCGUCAGUGACU
Molecule: ribosomal RNA, 261 nt
Filed under: uncultured archaeon
Lineage: Archaea
Description: partial 16S ribosomal RNA
Rfam family: Archaeal small subunit ribosomal RNA
Source: RNAcentral